AACGAACGCUGGCGGCAUGCCUAACACAUGCAAGUCGAACGGGACCUCCGUGCCUAGUUGCGCUCGGGUGCGGAACGCGGGGGAAGCUGCACGUCGGUUGCGAAUACUUGAGAUAAGUUUCAGCUAAUGCCUUAUAAUGUAUUCGGACCAAAGAUUUAUCGCCGCGGGGUGAGCCCGCGUAGGAUUAGGUAGUUGGGGGGGGAAUGGCCUAUCAAGGCGACGCUCCUUAGCUGGUCUGAGAGGAGGGUCAGCCACACUGGGACUGAGACACGGCCCAGACUCCUAGGGGAGGGGGGAGUGGGGAAUACAGGAGGAGGGGGGAAGGCCUGAUCAAGCAAGGGCGGGUGAGUGAUGAUGGCGGUAGGGAUGUAAAGCUGUUUUAGACGGGGUGAUAAUGACAGUACCGGGAGAAUAAGCACCGGCUAACUCCGUG
This 433-nucleotide ribosomal RNA is filed under the name uncultured bacterium. RNAcentral's name for it is "partial 16S ribosomal RNA". It matches the Rfam family "Bacterial small subunit ribosomal RNA", at positions 29 to 507 of the family's 1533-position model. The record is from RNAcentral.